UAUUAGCUCAGUUGGUUAGAGCACAUGACUGUUAAUCAUGGGGUCGUAGGUUCGAGUCCUACAUAGU
RNAcentral lists this transfer RNA (67 nucleotides) under uncultured Psychrobacillus sp. It matches the Rfam family "tRNA", at positions 5 to 66 of the family's 71-position model. From Rfam's summary of the family: Transfer RNA (tRNA) molecules are approximately 80 nucleotides in length. Their secondary structure includes four short double-helical elements and three loops (D, anti-codon, and T loops). Further hydrogen bonds mediate the characteristic L-shaped molecular structure. tRNAs have two regions of fundamental functional importance: the anti-codon, which is responsible for specific mRNA codon recognition, and the 3' end, to which the tRNAs corresponding amino acid is attached (by aminoacyl-tRNA synthetases). tRNAs cope with the degeneracy of the genetic code in two manners: having more than one tRNA (with a specific anti-codon) for a particular amino acid; and 'wobble' base-pairing, i.e. permitting non-standard base-pairing at the 3rd anti-codon position. Lineage: Bacteria; Bacillati; Bacillota; Bacilli; Caryophanales; Bacillaceae. The record is from RNAcentral.